RNAcentral lists this non-coding RNA (28 nucleotides) under Mus musculus (house mouse). Lineage: Eukaryota; Metazoa; Chordata; Mammalia; Rodentia; Muridae. The record is from RNAcentral.
UAGUUUUGGCAAACUGGGUCCUGAGAAU